GUGCUCAUUUUAGCAGCGUGUGUAUUAAAAUUAGAACGAUACCGAAAAGAUUACCAUGGACCCUGUGCAAGGAUGACAUGCAAAUUUGUGAAGUGUUCCGUAUUUUU
Molecule: small nuclear RNA, 107 nt
Filed under: Dasypus novemcinctus (nine-banded armadillo)
Lineage: Eukaryota; Metazoa; Chordata; Mammalia; Cingulata; Dasypodidae
Source: RNAcentral